UGGAACUUGGGGCAACUAUGGUUUGACUUGGUCCAAUUGCACUUGUCCCGGCCUGC
This 56-nucleotide microRNA precursor is filed under the name Lottia gigantea (owl limpet). RNAcentral describes it as "Lgi-Mir-92-o30_pre stem-loop". Lineage: Eukaryota; Metazoa; Mollusca; Gastropoda; Lottiidae. The record is from RNAcentral.